RNAcentral lists this ribosomal RNA (107 nucleotides) under Pogona vitticeps (central bearded dragon). Lineage: Eukaryota; Metazoa; Chordata; Lepidosauria; Squamata; Agamidae. The record is from RNAcentral.
UCCAUCACCCUAAACAUACCGAGUCUCAUCUGAUUCUGGAAGCUAAGCAGAAUCUGGCCUGGCUAAUACUUGUAUGGGAGACCUCUGGGGAGAGGUAGGGCUAGGAG